This 254-nucleotide ribosomal RNA is filed under the name uncultured bacterium. RNAcentral describes it as "partial 16S ribosomal RNA". It matches the Rfam family "Bacterial small subunit ribosomal RNA", at positions 524 to 776 of the family's 1533-position model. The record is from RNAcentral.
UACGUAGGGGGCAAGCGUUGUCCGGAUUCAUUGGGCGUAAAGAGCGUGUAGGCGGCCAGGUAGGUCGGUUGUGAAAACUGGAGGCUCAACCUUCAGAGGUCGACCGAAACCAUCUGGCUAGAGUCCGGGAGAGGAGAGUGGAAUUCCUGGUGUAGCGGUGAAAUGCGCAGAUAUCAGGAAGAACACCCGUGGCGAAAGCGGCUCUCUGGAACGGUACUGACGCUGAGACGCGAAAGCGUGGGGAGCGAAACAGG